GACGAACGCUGGCGGCGUGCUUAACACAUGCAAGUCGAACGGAAAGGCCCUGCUUUUGUGGGGUGCUCGAGUGGCGAACGGGUGAGUAACACGUGAGUAACCUGCCCUUGACUUUGGGAUAACUUCAGGAAACUGGGGCUAAUACCGGAUAGGAGCUCCUGCUGCAUGGUGGGGGUUGGAAAGUUUCGGCGGUUGGGGAUGGACUCGCGGCUUAUCAGCUUGUUGGUGGGGUAGUGGCUUACCAAGGCUUUGACGGGUAGCCGGCCUGAGAGGGUGACCGGCCACAUUGGGACUGAGAUACGGCCCAGACGCCUACGGGAGGCAGCAGUGGGGAAUAUUGAACAAUGGGCGGAAGCCUGAUGCAGCAACGCCGCGUGCGGGAUGACGGCCUUCGGGUUGUAAACCGCUUUCGCCUGUGACGAAGCGUGAGUGACGGUAAUGGGUAAAGAAGCACCGGCUAACUACGUG
This 468-nucleotide ribosomal RNA is filed under the name uncultured bacterium. RNAcentral describes it as "partial 16S ribosomal RNA". It matches the Rfam family "Bacterial small subunit ribosomal RNA", at positions 28 to 507 of the family's 1533-position model. The record is from RNAcentral.